AUGGCUGUCGUCAGCUCGUGUCGUGAGAUGUUGGGUUAAGUCCCGCAACGAGCGCAACCCUUGUCAUUAGUUGCUACAUUUGGUUGGGCACUCUAAUGAGACUGCCGGUGACAAACCGGAGGAAGGUGGGGAUGACGUCAAGUCCUCAUGGCCCUUAUGGGUAGGGCUUCACACGUCAUACAAUGGUCGGGACAGAGGGUUGCCAAGCCGCGAGGCGGAGCCAAUCUCAGAAACCCGAUCGUAGUCCGGAUCGCAGUCUGCAACUCGACUGCGUGAAGUCGGAAUCGCUAGUAAUCGCGGAUCAGCAUGUCGCGGUGAAUACGUUCCCGGGUCUUGUACACACCGCCCGU
This 350-nucleotide ribosomal RNA is filed under the name uncultured beta proteobacterium. Its description in RNAcentral is "SSU rRNA". It matches the Rfam family "Bacterial small subunit ribosomal RNA", at positions 1045 to 1397 of the family's 1533-position model. Lineage: Bacteria; Pseudomonadati; Pseudomonadota; Betaproteobacteria. The record is from RNAcentral.